CGUGUGCUUUUGUAACUGCCACGCUGGACUGACGCCGUAGUGUCGGCAUCUUCUGCUUCAUCUACAGCGGAAGAGUAAGAUAUUCCAUGUCCUAGCGUGUCCUCGUUGUAGUUUUCCAACCCUUCCCUCACCCGCCGUCCGAGUCUCCCCUUCGGGUUUUUCUUGUUUGACCGCUUGCUCGCAUGUCCAACUCUCUGCCCACGGCGGAGUCGACCACAUGCGGGGGAGAAGCGCCAGAGGAACUGCUGUUUCACUCACUGCCCAUUCAACCCGACUUUGAGAGCACGGCCGAUGUGCACGAGAGCUUCGUCUGCAAUGAAACGUGAUCCCGGCAAUGGCCUUCGGCAUGCAACGUUGCGGGGCCGUGCACUGCUGGGAGAGGAGGUUCAACUGCCGGAGGGCUACGCCGUUGUCAUGACCACAAUCACCACAAGCAAGCCGUCCUGCUCUCCACUCCCCACCCCGGCGUCCCUUUCCACGUUCACGCUCCAGAUUGCCGAGGUUGACGAACUCGAGAUGCCCGAUGAGGUGUUCAGUGAACCAUGCGCGCCACGCUAUGUGGUAUGGGACCAUGAUAGAGCACCGUCGCGUGCUGCCAGCAUAUCGCAGUGGAUCAUGCUAGCAUAGGCGCUUCACGGCUCCUCGAAGUGGGCGGAGAGCGAGUGCGAUACUUCGCUUCUAUCCUCGUCGUGAACAUGUGCGCUUUCCCUUCCCUGUGCCGAUCUGUGUCCGUGAUGAAGCGAUGGAAGAGAAGGAUAAAAGAGAAUGGACCACGCCCUCUGCAUCACCGAUGCCGCAGGUGUGGCUCACCGAAGUGCAGAGUGGUCACUGCGAAGUUUUUUUCCCCUUUUCCCCCGGCUGGCUGCCAGCCGUCUCGUGUGUUGUGCAGGGACUACGGCUUUUGCGGUGGCUACCGUUUUGCGCACCAAAAAAGGCGAUGAGGCCCGCUGCCGGUGACAAGUUGGACAUGUGCUGCUCACUUGCGACUCCUCUUCCCUUGGCGGCAAAACACGCAUACCUCCAUUGUUUCAGACAAGCACCAACAUGUCGUACACAUGCCUCAUCUUUCUGCAUACGCUUUUGCCUCUUGUCCACCUCUCCCCGUAUAG
RNAcentral lists this unclassified non-coding RNA (1109 nucleotides) under Leishmania donovani. RNAcentral's name for it is "gene:LdHU3.12.1690(CDS-product:Ribonuclease_H2_no n-catalytic_subunit_(Ylr154p-like)_putative)". The record is from RNAcentral. Lineage: Eukaryota; Euglenozoa; Kinetoplastea; Trypanosomatida; Trypanosomatidae.